UAACACAGGCUCCUCUGCUGUUGAGCUAAAAUCUGCCAAUCAGAUCCAGUGUUGUCAGUCAUUUUCAGGAGUAUCUGCAAAGACGCAGGUCACAACAGACUGAGCUUACUCACAUAUAUCGAUCCACCAAGGCCGG
Scomber scombrus (Atlantic mackerel) is the source of this 136-nucleotide long non-coding RNA. RefSeq lists it as uncharacterized. The record is from RefSeq and is a predicted model, not a curated record. The transcript has 3 exons. Lineage: Eukaryota; Metazoa; Chordata; Actinopteri; Scombriformes; Scombridae.